GUCUACGGCCACACCACUCUGGCAACGCCCGAUCUCGUCCGAUCUCGGAAGCUAAGCAGGGUCGGGCCUGGUUAGUACUUGGAUGGGAAACCUCCUGGGAAUAACGGGUGCCGUAGGCU
Molecule: ribosomal RNA, 119 nt
Filed under: Callipepla squamata (scaled quail)
Lineage: Eukaryota; Metazoa; Chordata; Aves; Galliformes; Odontophoridae
Source: RNAcentral